This 335-nucleotide unclassified non-coding RNA is filed under the name soil metagenome. Its description in RNAcentral is "partial contains 5.8S ribosomal RNA, internal transcribed spacer 2, and large subunit ribosomal RNA". The stretch from base 1 to 120 matches the Rfam family "5.8S ribosomal RNA", at positions 35 to 154 of the family's 154-position model. The record is from RNAcentral.
GAUGAAGAACGUAGCGAAAUGCGAUAAGUAAUGUGAAUUGCAGAAUUCAGUGAAUCAUCGAAUCUUUGAACGCACAUUGCGCCCAUUAGUAUUCUAGUGGGCAUGCCUGUUCGAGCGUCAUUUCAACCCUUAAGCCUAGCUUAGUAUUGGGAAUCGACUUUACUGUCGUUCCUCAAAUUCAACGGCGGAUUUAUAGCAAUCUCUGAACGUAGUAAUUUUUUUCCUCGUUUUUGAAAUACUAUAAACCUCAGCCGCUAAACCCCCAAUUUUUUUAUGGUUGACCUCGGAUCAGGUAGGAAUAGCCGCUGAACUUAAGCAUAUCAAUAAGCGGAGGA